This 1651-nucleotide long non-coding RNA is filed under the name Scleropages formosus (Asian bonytongue). Its description in RNAcentral is "lncRNA (ENSSFOG00015026777.1)". The record is from RNAcentral. Lineage: Eukaryota; Metazoa; Chordata; Actinopteri; Osteoglossiformes; Osteoglossidae.
AUGUGUGUAGUGCGUGCGCAGUACGUGUGCAGUGUGCGCUCUAGGCCUGCUUGCACUCUGCGUGCGUUACAACCGAGGUCACACGUGUUCGCACGUGUUCACACGGCCGAAAUGUACUUUUCAGAGGACGCGAGCCAGAAGAUGCCCACCCUGUCCAUCCUCCAGUCGACGAGUAAGGAGCAGCCGCACGUGUGUCUGGCGGCAGGAUUCUACCCCAAGGGUCAGGAGAUGAAGCUCAUGGAGGACGUCGGAGAAGCGAACAAGAGUUCCAAGUCCAUCACGGUGGACAAGGCGCCCCUGGACACCAGCAGCAAGUCCUACUUCUUUGCUGGCUUCAUGGACAAGGGGAAGAGCCUGAGGGAGUGUGAGCUCAUGGGCCAGAAAGAACAGCUGGAGGAAGAGACUAAACCGACCGCCCAGGCGCCGAGUCCAGAGGAGUGCGAACCCGCCUCUGUCAAUGACACCCUGUCCCAAGGGCGUUCCGGCGACACACUCGGUGCGUUCUCUCGAUGCGCUGCGAUGGCUAUGAAAAGGGGGGUCCACAUGAACCUUGGCAGUUUCAAGCACCGCAGGGACAGUUUGGCUGCAGGGACACUUUGACCACAGGCACACUUUGACCGCAGGGACACUUUGACCACAGGCACACUUGGUGUCCUCGCCCUGAUGGGGAUGCCAUUAGGGCUCCUGUCUUUGGUACGGAACUGAAUGAGCAGGACGUCAGCGAUUAUCUUUGUGUCGGUAAAGAAUGGACAUGUGUCUCUGUGAAGAAGUGGCACCUUUUGCCUGUAUAUAGUGUGCAGUUUGGCACACGGGGGACACGUGACAUGGAGAAGGGCAAUCGAGGAGUUACACAGUGCAUCUCAUGAUGUGUAUGUGUGUGUGUGUGUGUGUGUGUGUGUGUGUGCGCACGCUGCAGAACACAUGAAGGUGAACUUCCGCUCACUGCUGGUCCACGGACUCAGGCUGCUGUUGGCCAAGGUCGUGACCUUUGACAUGAUGGUCACGGUCAAGGCCAUGUUCUUCUAGCCGCAGGUGAGCUCUUCCUCCUCCUCCUCUUCAUUGUCCACUUUGUGGCGUCAAACAAACUGCAGAAGAGAAAGCAAUGCUGGUGUCUUUGGGUGGAUGUGUGUGUGAACAGUAUGCGUGACGUGUGUGUGUGUGAUCCACUCAGUUUGCGGCCUUUACUACAGCAUCGGAGUGCACAGAAUGUGCUGGAACAUCACGCUGAAGCCGUAUCACAUAUGACGUGUGUGGUGUUGAUGGGUCCAGCAGGAGACGCCACGACACUCCACCCGAGGAGCUCCAGCGUGUCCAGCGUGUCCAGCAUGUCCAGCGCGUCCAGAACGUCCAGCCUCAGCAUUUCUGCUGGACGGAGCCGGAGCCGGAGCCGGAGCCGGAGCACAGGACAGGCGUCCCUCACAGCUUCUUCAUAGGAACUGCGGCUGCUGCUUCUGCCAAAGUGUGUGUUACCGCAGUGCAGCAAAAAAUAGUGUAAAACACUGUAAAUAGAGUAGUGAACACAGCAGCCCUGCAGUUUGCAUUCGGUGUUGAUGACCGAGCUGAAGCCACACGUGUUUUUCUGUGUUUGUGUCCUUCUGCUAAGAGCGAUUUCAUUGAUCUGCCAGCUUAAUAAAGACGACCUUUUUACGCA